GAUGAACGCUAGCGGCAGGCCUAAUACAUGCAAGUCGAACGAGAUUAAGAGGCUUGCUUCUUAUGAAAGUGGCGCACGGGUGCGUAACGCGUAUGCAACCUACCUUAAUCAGGGGGAUAGCCCGAAGAAAUUCGGAUUAAGACCGCAUAAAAACACAGGAUAGCAUUAUCCAAUGUUCAAAUAUUUAUAGGAUUAAGAUGGGCAUGCGUGUCAUUAGCUAGUUGGCGGGGUAACGGCCCACCAAGGCGACGAUGACUAGGGGAUCUGAGAGGAUGACCCCCCACACUGGUACUGAGACACGGACCAGACUCCUACGGGAGGCAGCAGUAAGGAAUAUUGGUCAAUGGAGGGAACUCUGAACCAGCCAUGCCGCGUGCAGGAAGACAGCCCUCUGGGUCGUAAACUGCUUUUAUUCGGGAAGAAACCUUUCUACGUGUAGGAAGCUGAAUGUACCGAAGGAAUAAGGAUCGGCUAACUCCGUG
RNAcentral lists this ribosomal RNA (482 nucleotides) under uncultured bacterium. RNAcentral's name for it is "partial 16S ribosomal RNA". It matches the Rfam family "Bacterial small subunit ribosomal RNA", at positions 28 to 507 of the family's 1533-position model. The record is from RNAcentral.